CCUACGGGGGGCUGCAGUGGGGAAUAUUGGACAAUGGGCGAAAGCCUGAUCCAGCCAUGCAGCGUGUGUGAAGAAGGCCUUCGGGUUGUAAAGCACUUUCAGUGGGGAAGAAAGCCUUGGGGCUAAUACCCUCGAGGAAGGACAUCACCCACAGAAGAAGCACCGGCUAACUCCGUGCCAGCAGCCGCGGUAAUACGGAGGGUGCGAGCGUUAAUCGGAAUUACUGGGCGUAAAGCGCGCGUAGGCGGUCUGAUAAGCCGGUUGUGAAAGCCCCGGGCUCAACCUGGGAACGGCAUCCGGAACUGUCAGGCUAGAGUGCAGGAGAGGAAGGUAGAAUUCCCGGUGUAGCGGUGAAAUGCGUAGAGAUCGGGAGGAAUACCAGUGGCGAAGGCGGUCUUCUGGACUGACACUGACGCUGAGGUGCGAAAGCGUGGGUAGCAAACAGGAUUAGAUACCCUUGUAGUC
This 465-nucleotide ribosomal RNA is filed under the name Vreelandella stevensii. RNAcentral's name for it is "partial 16S ribosomal RNA". It matches the Rfam family "Bacterial small subunit ribosomal RNA", at positions 338 to 795 of the family's 1533-position model. Lineage: Bacteria; Pseudomonadati; Pseudomonadota; Gammaproteobacteria; Oceanospirillales; Halomonadaceae. The record is from RNAcentral.